This is a non-coding RNA of Hordeum vulgare subsp. vulgare (domesticated barley), 104 nucleotides long. Lineage: Eukaryota; Viridiplantae; Streptophyta; Magnoliopsida; Poales; Poaceae. The record is from Rfam.
AAAUACUUGUCCUAGAAAUGGAUGUAUCUAGACUUAUUUUAGUUAUAGAUACAUCCAUUUUAUUCAUUUCUAGGACAAGUAUUUCCGGACAGAGGGAGUAGAUG